GACGAACGCUGGCGGCGUGCCUAAUACAUGCAAGUAGAACGCUGAAGAGAGGAGCUUACUCUUCUUGGAUGAGUUGCGAACGGGUGAGUAACGCGUAGGUAACCUGCCUUGUAGCGGGGGAUAACUAUUGGAAACGAUAGCUAAUACCGCAUAACAAUGGAUGACACAUGUCAUUUAUUUGAAAGGGGCAAUUGCUCCACUACAAGAUGGACCUGCGUUGUAUUAGCUAGUAGGUGAGGUAAUGGCUCACCUAGGCGACGAUACAUAGCCGACCUGAGAGGGUGAUCGGCCACACUGGGACUGAGAAACGGCCCAGACUCCUAAGGGAGGCAGCAGUAGGGAAUCUUCGGCAAUGGGGGCAAACCUGACCGAGCAACGCCGCGUGAGUGAAGAAGGUUUUCGGAUCGUAAAGCUCUGUUGUAAGUCAAGAACGGGUGUGAGAGUGGAAAGUUCACACUGUGACGGUAGCUUACCAGAAAGGGACGGCUAACUACGUG
This 497-nucleotide ribosomal RNA is filed under the name uncultured bacterium. Its description in RNAcentral is "partial 16S ribosomal RNA". It matches the Rfam family "Bacterial small subunit ribosomal RNA", at positions 28 to 507 of the family's 1533-position model. The record is from RNAcentral.